Molecule: ribosomal RNA, 254 nt
Filed under: uncultured bacterium
Lineage: Bacteria
Description: partial 16S ribosomal RNA
Rfam family: Bacterial small subunit ribosomal RNA
Source: RNAcentral
CACGUAGGGUGCGAGCGUUGUCCGGAAUUAUUGGGCGUAAAGAGCUCGUAGGCGGUGUGUCGCGUCGGCCGUGAAAACCUGUAGCUUAACUGUGGGCUUGCGGUCGAUACGGGCAUCACUGGAGUUCGGCAGGGGAGACUGGAAUUCCUGGUGUAGCGGUGAAAUGCGCAGAUAUCAGGAGGAACACCGGUGGCGAAGGCGGGCCUCUGGGCCGAUACUGACGCUGAGGAGCGAAAGCGUGGGGAGCGAACAGG